GAUGAACGCUGGCGGCGUGCCUAAUACAUGCAAGUCGAGCGAACAGACGAGGAGCUUGCUCCUCUGACGUUAGCGGCGGACGGGUGAGUAACACGUGGAUAACCUACCUAUAAGACUGGGAUAACUUCGGGAAACCGGAGCUAAUACCGGAUAAUAUAUUGAACCGCAGGGUUCAAUAGUGAAAGACGGUUUUGCUGUCACUACUAGAUGGAUCCGCGCUGCAUUAGCUAGUUGGUAAGGUAACGGCUUUCCAAGGCAACGAUGCGUAGCCGACCUGAGAGGGUGAUCGGCCACACUGGAACUGAGACACGGUCCAGACUCCUACGGGAGGCAGCAGUAGGGAAUCUUCCGCAAUGGGCGAAAGCCUGACGGAGCAACGCCGCGUGAGUGAUGAAGGUCUUCGGAUCGUAAAACUCUGUUAUUAGGGAAGAACAAAUGUGUAAGUAACUAUGCACGUCUUGACGGUACCUAAUCAGAAAGCAACGGCUAACUACGUG
This 497-nucleotide ribosomal RNA is filed under the name uncultured bacterium. Its description in RNAcentral is "partial 16S ribosomal RNA". It matches the Rfam family "Bacterial small subunit ribosomal RNA", at positions 28 to 507 of the family's 1533-position model. The record is from RNAcentral.